GCGUCGGUAGUUCAGUGGUAGAACGUUCGUCUGCCGGACGAGAGAUCCGGGUUCGAUCCCCGGUCGAUGCA
RNAcentral lists this transfer RNA (71 nucleotides) under Pristionchus pacificus. RNAcentral describes it as "tRNA-Gly (GCC) (tRNA-Gly-GCC-12-1)". It matches the Rfam family "tRNA". From Rfam's summary of the family: Transfer RNA (tRNA) molecules are approximately 80 nucleotides in length. Their secondary structure includes four short double-helical elements and three loops (D, anti-codon, and T loops). The record is from RNAcentral. Lineage: Eukaryota; Metazoa; Nematoda; Chromadorea; Rhabditida; Neodiplogasteridae.